UUUUCUUUAAGAUCUAGAUCUGAGAAUAUCUGUAGAUUUUGAUGAAGCCGCACAUGCAUCCGAUCUCUAUAGGUAUCCAUACAAGGAUGAUUUAGAUCAAGAGAUUUCGAAGACCAUCAAAGUGCUAGCUCCCUUGCAGGCUUCUCUCCUUCAAGGCUGAAUCUUCCUUUGAUCUCUUGUUCUCUUCACUAGAGAAUAGAUCUAAGAUUAGAGGAGGAAGAAGAAAGAAAAAGGCUAGAUCUUUUUACGAUCAACACUUGGGCAUG
Molecule: long non-coding RNA, 266 nt
Filed under: Elaeis guineensis (African oil palm)
Lineage: Eukaryota; Viridiplantae; Streptophyta; Magnoliopsida; Arecales; Arecaceae
Description: long non-coding RNA (EGUI_LNC057855)
Source: RNAcentral